UCUAGCUGUAUGAGUGUUAUUAAGCCAUCAUAAAGCUAGAUAACCGAAAGUAGAAAUGACUUCCAACCCUUCCUGGAGCUGGGAAGCCAAUGGACCACGAGGGACGUGGAGCCAGACGCAGCACGGACCCUGGAGCAGAACAAGAUUAACCCCAGAUCAUCUCCGAUCUUCUGCCAAGGAUUCGCCGGAGUCCUUCCAGACCCAGACAUGACUGAAAGUUCAUGGAUUGGGAUGCAAUGGGAAGAGACAGGACAUCUCUGGGUGAGCAAGGAGAGAUAUGAAAUUGAGGAAAAAAAUACAUCUUGCUACCUGAAUGAUCUCGCUCUAUGUGGGAGGCCUGGAAUGGAAAAUGGAGGGUACAAGUCAGUGAGCCUUGGAGAGCCUGUGUGACAUUCUGCAGCAAAGAUAAAAAACUUCCCAUUCGGCACAAGGAGCACAGGAGAGAAAGGUGGAGAGUCGCUCCUCCCCGGUUAACCUCCCCUUCCCAGUCCCCUCUGGUAUUCUCCCCUCUCCACGAGACCAUCAACUCAGCGAGGGGCCCUCAACAAGCAAGAGCUGGAGGAGGAGGACAAAAAGAGAGGCAGAAAGAGGGAGAAGGGCAGCCCCUGUGA
RNAcentral lists this long non-coding RNA (611 nucleotides) under Gopherus agassizii (Agassiz's desert tortoise). RNAcentral describes it as "lncRNA (ENSGAGG00000024679.1)". The stretch from base 1 to 51 matches the Rfam family "mir-9/mir-79 microRNA precursor family", at positions 12 to 62 of the family's 78-position model. Lineage: Eukaryota; Metazoa; Chordata; Testudines; Testudinidae. The record is from RNAcentral.